This 259-nucleotide ribosomal RNA is filed under the name uncultured bacterium. Its description in RNAcentral is "partial 16S ribosomal RNA". It matches the Rfam family "Bacterial small subunit ribosomal RNA", at positions 398 to 656 of the family's 1533-position model. The record is from RNAcentral.
CGCGUGAGGGAUGAAGGUUUAUGGAUCGUAAACCUCUUUUAUAAGGGAAUAAGUGCGGGACGUGUCCCGUUUUGUAUGUACCUUAUGAAUAAGGAUCGGCUAACUCCGUGCCAGCAGCCGCGGUAAUACGGAGGAUCCGAGCGUUAUCCGGAUUUAUUGGGUUUAAAGGGUGCGUAGGCGGCCUUUUAAGUCAGCGGUGAAAGUCUGUGGCUCAACCAUAGAAUUGCCGUUGAAACUGGGGGGCUUGAGUAUGUUUGAG